RNAcentral lists this ribosomal RNA (957 nucleotides) under Escherichia coli. RNAcentral describes it as "partial 23S ribosomal RNA". It matches the Rfam family "Bacterial large subunit ribosomal RNA", at positions 199 to 1194 of the family's 2925-position model. The record is from RNAcentral. Lineage: Bacteria; Pseudomonadati; Pseudomonadota; Gammaproteobacteria; Enterobacterales; Enterobacteriaceae.
CAUCUAAGUACCCCGAGGAAAAGAAAUCAACCGAGAUUCCCCCAGUAGCGGCGAGCGAACGGGGAGCAGCCCAGAGCCUGAAUCAGUGUGUGUGUUAGUGGAAGCGUCUGGAAAGGCGCGCGAUACAGGGUGACAGCCCCGUACACAAAAAUGCACAUACUGUGAGCUCGAUGAGUAGGGCGGGACACGUGGUAUCCUGUCUGAAUAUGGGGGGACCAUCCUCCAAGGCUAAAUACUCCUGACUGACCGAUAGUGAACCAGUACCGUGAGGGAAAGGCGAAAAGAACCCCGGCGAGGGGAGUGAAAAAGAACCUGAAACCGUGUACGUACAAGCAGUGGGAGCACAGAGCAAUCUGUGUGACUGCGUACCUUUUGUAUAAUGGGUCAGCGACUUAUAUUCUGUAGCAAGGUUAACCGAAUAGGGGAGCCGAAGGGAAACCGAGUCUUAACUGGGCGUUAAGUUGCAGGGUAUAGACCCGAAACCCGGUGAUCUAGCCAUGGGCAGGUUGAAGGUUGGGUAACACUAACUGGAGGACCGAACCGACUAAUGUUGAAAAAUUAGCGGAUGACUUGUGGCUGGGGGUGAAAGGCCAAUCAAACCGGGAGAUAGCUGGUUCUCCCCGAAAGCUAUUUAGGUAGCGCCUCGUGAAUUCAUCUCCGGGGGUAGAGCACUGUUUCGGCAAGGGGGUCAUCCCGACUUACCAACCCGAUGCAAACUGCGAAUACCGGAGAAUGUUAUCACGGGAGACACACGGCGGGUGCUAACGUCCGUCGUGAAGAGGGAAACAACCCAGACCGCCAGCUAAGGUCCCAAAGUCAUGGUUAAGUGGGAAACGAUGUGGGAAGGCCCAGACAGCCAGGAUGUUGGCUUAGAAGCAGCCAUCAUUUAAAGAAAGCGUAAUAGCUCACUGGUCGAGUCGGCCUGCGCGGAAGAUGUAACGGGGCUAAACCAUGCAC